GAAGGUAUAACUCAGUGGUAGAGUGCAUGCCUAGCAUGCAUGUGGUCCUGGGUUCAGUCCCUAGAACCUCCA
This 72-nucleotide transfer RNA is filed under the name Camelus bactrianus (Bactrian camel). It matches the Rfam family "tRNA". Rfam says of the family: Transfer RNA (tRNA) molecules are approximately 80 nucleotides in length. Their secondary structure includes four short double-helical elements and three loops (D, anti-codon, and T loops). Lineage: Eukaryota; Metazoa; Chordata; Mammalia; Artiodactyla; Camelidae. RNAcentral also lists the same sequence under 2 other names. The record is from Rfam by way of RNAcentral.